UCCGGUGACGAUAGCACAGAGGAUCCACCUGUUCCCAUUCCGAACACAGAAGUUAAGCUCUGUUACGCCAGAAGUACUUGGGUUUUAACCCCGGGAGAUAAGGUAGUUGCCGGAU
This 115-nucleotide ribosomal RNA is filed under the name Clostridia bacterium. The record is from RNAcentral. Lineage: Bacteria; Bacillati; Bacillota; Clostridia.